UGUUAGUAUUUAUUUAUUAAUUAAUUUUUUUUUUAUAUAUUUUUAUUAAAAAUAAUUAUUAAAGUUAAUGUUUUAGUAAGGUUUAGAGAAAGAAUAAUAUUGAAUUAUAGUGUAUUAGUAUUGUGAGAGAUUAUUGAAAUAUAUUGAAAAAUAUUUAUUAGUAAAGAAAACUUUAUUUGUUGUACCUUGUGUAUCAGGGUGUAUUAAAUAGUUAAUAUUUAUUUAUUAGUCUCGAUUUUAUAAGAGUUAAUAGUAUAUUAAAGUUAGUGUAUCAAAACUAUUUUGUAUAUAUUAUUAGAAAUGAAAUGUUAUUCGUUUAUAAAGGUAUCUAGUUUUUUUAGAAAUAAAUUUAAUUUACUAAUUUUUAAGCUUUUGUUUUAUUUUUUAAUCAAUAGAUUUAUUAAUUAGAAUACUUUAAGGGAUAAGCUUUAAAGUAAAUUAUUAAAAGUUUAUAUUAAUGUUUUUAAAAUAUAGGCAUAGAAUUUGUUAUUAUUGUAAAGUUUGUUAUAAAUUAUUUUAUUAAUUAUAUUAUUUUUGUUAAUUUCUUUAAUUAUUUAUAAAAAUUUUCCUUUUAAUUUAUAAAAAGAGGUAAUAAUGAUUUAAUUAGUAUAUAGUUUUGUAUUAAUAAAUUUAUUGUGAUAAGUUUAUAUAAAGAACUCGGCAAAUAUUAUAUGCCCGCCUGUUUAACAAAAACAUGUCUUUUUGAGUUAAUUUUAAAGUCUGACCUGCCCAAUGAUUUAUUUAAUGGCCGCAGUAUACUAACUGUGCAAAGGUAGCAUAAUCAAUAGUCUUUUAAUUGAAGGCUGGUAUGAAUGGUUGGACGAGGUAUAUACUGUUUCAUAUAAAUUUAUAGUAGAAUUUUAUAUUUUAGUUAAAAAGCUAAGAUUUUAUUAAAAGACGAGAAGACCCUAUAAAUCUUUAUAUUUUAUUUAAUUUCUGGUUAUAUAGAUUAUUUUUGUUGUUAUUAAUUAAAUUAUUUUAUUGGGGUGAUAUUAAAAUUUAAUGAACUUUUAAUUAUAUUAAAACAUUAGUUAAUGAUUGAUUGAUCCAUUAUUAGUGAUUAUAAGAAUAAGUUACUUUAGGGAUAACAGCGUAAUUUUUUUGGAGAGUUCUUAUCGAUAAAAGAGAUUGCGACCUCGAUGUUGGAUUAAAGUAUAUUUUUAGGUGUAGCCGCUUAAUUAAUAAGUCUGUUCGACUUUUAAAUCUUUACAUGAUCUGAGUUCAGACCGGCGUAAGCCAGGUUGGUUUCUAUCUUUAAUGUUUUAUGAUAUUUUAGUACGAAAGGACCAAAUAUCAAAAUGAUAAUAUUUUACUUUAUGAAUAUUAAUAAUUUAAA
This 1336-nucleotide ribosomal RNA is filed under the name Rivellia apicalis. RNAcentral's name for it is "16S ribosomal RNA". The stretch from base 1084 to 1243 matches the Rfam family "Archaeal large subunit ribosomal RNA", at positions 2542 to 2701 of the family's 2987-position model. The record is from RNAcentral. Lineage: Eukaryota; Metazoa; Arthropoda; Insecta; Diptera; Platystomatidae.